Molecule: long non-coding RNA, 648 nt
Organism: Paramisgurnus dabryanus
Lineage: Eukaryota; Metazoa; Chordata; Actinopteri; Cypriniformes; Cobitidae
Source: RefSeq, a predicted model, not a curated record
GUACAUACAUGUUAUUAAAACUUGAACUAAUGCACUGUGAGUCUUAUAAAUUGCUUACAUACCUCACCGAUUUCCCACUGUCUGGAAAACGCUCGGUUUAGUUCCUGUCUCCGCCUCCCAAAAUGUCUAGUGUAUUCGGAUUGGUCAGAUGACUACUCAACUGUUAUUGGUCAACUGGGUUCGGCGUGUGUUUGAAAGGUUACGCCCCUGACUACGCGUGGGUUUUCCGGUUCUGACUGAGAGUCACAGGCAACGUAAACAAGCGCUAUAUUUCUCUAUAAACGAUGGUGUCUGUACUGCCUUACCACUUCAAGCUCGAUCCAGAGAGUUCAGACGGCGUUACGAUAUAAACGAUCUCCGUCAAUUAACGCGAUUGGAUUUAACUUUUUUAGGUGUCCUUAGCUCUGCCAGAAUGCUAAACGAAGACGAAAAUGUGUUGCAAAGACAUCCAAAAGGUUUUAAGGAGAAUGCAACAGGUUCCAGGGCCUCUUACCUGCGUGAUUCAUCAUCCAGAUACGCUUGGAGCUUCCUGAUCAGAUCGGUCACAAUUUUGGCUUUCGAUGACCCCUGCACUGAAGAUGGCAUGCAAUCACGUCCUCCUUUGAAGGUCUCUCAAACUGUGAUGCCAGGUCCAUUGGAAUCGGGGUU